UUGCACCUACCGAGUGGGGUAACGGAAACGUCCCCAAAAUAAUCCUAUGGAUGUUUUGACAGCUCGUAGUAGGUGCAUUU
This 80-nucleotide non-coding RNA is filed under the name unclassified sequences. The record is from RNAcentral.